This 76-nucleotide transfer RNA is filed under the name Planctomycetota bacterium. Its description in RNAcentral is "Planctomycetes bacterium (activated sludge metagenome) tRNA-Thr". It matches the Rfam family "tRNA". From Rfam's summary of the family: Transfer RNA (tRNA) molecules are approximately 80 nucleotides in length. Their secondary structure includes four short double-helical elements and three loops (D, anti-codon, and T loops). Further hydrogen bonds mediate the characteristic L-shaped molecular structure. tRNAs have two regions of fundamental functional importance: the anti-codon, which is responsible for specific mRNA codon recognition, and the 3' end, to which the tRNAs corresponding amino acid is attached (by aminoacyl-tRNA synthetases). tRNAs cope with the degeneracy of the genetic code in two manners: having more than one tRNA (with a specific anti-codon) for a particular amino acid; and 'wobble' base-pairing, i.e. permitting non-standard base-pairing at the 3rd anti-codon position. The record is from RNAcentral. Lineage: Bacteria; Pseudomonadati; Planctomycetota.
GCUGUCGUAGCUCAACUGGCGGAGCAGCGCAUUCGUAUCGCGCAGGCUGCAGGUUCGACUCCUGCCGACAGCACCA